AUUGCGAGCAGACGAGGUGUAAAUACGUUUAAAAUUAGCUAAAAGACUAAAAAGUUAAAUCGGAAUAUCGUUAAAUUUUGUGAAUAAAUGUGUUCUGAUGGAUAACAACCACAACUUACCUGAAUAUUGCUCAUGAUCACACGUACAAGUGCUUUUUGAGAGCGAAUGGAAAAUGCGUCACGAAUUCUGUUUUUUUUAAGUCAACAGUAGGGUCAAGUGUGAAGUUGUCAAUCUGAGAGUGAUAGCUGAUGCAGUUUCAUUUCACCAAGGCUGUCUUAAGACUAUUUAGCGACAUUGUGUCAUGGUCUAAUGUUGAAGAAUCAGUUCAUGACGUAAUGACGUACGUUGGACAAGAGUCACUCACUGAAUUGUAUAAAGCGUCGUGACUUUACCGUUACGCUUUUCUCUACGUCAGAAGAAAGCACACAACGCAAUCUGGAAACGAAUGAUGACGUCAGUGUCGCACAUAGAGUUUCAAACGACACAAUACUUUCUACGGGAAACAACACAAUAUUUUCUACAGGAAACAACACAAUAUUUUCUACAGGAAAUAACACAAUACUUUCUACUGGAAACAACACUAUACUUCCUUCGGGGAGUGACGGACAUCCGCAAAUGGAAAAGAUUAUCAUCUUGACGCUAAUUUUUGUGAGUGUGUUCACUGGCAAAGCUUCCGUCUUGACCAUAAUCAUUUACUGCAGGCCCACAAGUAUGUCGAAACCGGACAGAAACGCGGAGAUGUUGAGCGAUUACUGGAACAAACAGGAGACAGCACAUCUGAUAUGUAAGAAAGUUUUGGACAUUCCUUGGGUAUAUACUAUAAUGUAGAAGAGCAAUUUAUCGUUAUUUCUCCACGGCCAUCUAAGAACAACUAAUCCUGGAAUUGUUUUAGGAUUUUGUUCAAUUUUCACGUCAAUUAACUACAGCCUGGAGUUCACAAAAAUGGAGACCAACAUUUUAUAUUUCAAACCGUUACUUAGUAGUAAUUCUUAGUACUUAGUAAUUCUUUUAAUUGGAGCUUAUUGGCAAAUACAUUUUAGAUGCAUAGGGUCUUAUCAACGUCAACGAGUUGCCAAUGGCAAAUAAAAAACAUUAAUGCGAAUAUCAGUUUGAUUCAAACAUGAUUGUAUUUGAAAUUUAUUCUUUAUAAUGUUUGUUUUACUGUUUAGUAGUUUAAUGACGUGAUUUGGGUUAUUUGUUUAUUGAAAGAUAAGGAAGUACAAUGUUAAAUUAAACAAACACCAACAAAGCAACAAAAGACGGACUUCGUUUCAAUACAAAAAAGACGAUAUUCCAUUGUGUUAUUUGUAAAGAGGCAAAUGGUUUAUCUGUAUAUCCCUUCUUUCCGUCUUCCGCUGGUGUUCGUUUAAAAUUGUUGUACAAUGUAUUUACAAUUUAAUACACGGAGGCCCUUCUUUGGUUGUCUGUAUUGGUUUAAUAUAGUAUGAUUACCAUUUUUAUGUAUGUAUGCGGUUGAAUAUGAUUUUAAUGCCAACAUUUAUUAUUGCAAUUUAAAACCAAUAUAUGAAUAAGAACGAGGACGGUUAAUCAAGCUUGAUUAACACCUUUUAAAUGUCAACAUAAACCAACCAUUGUUUACUUCAAUUAAAUUCACAACGAACAAGUUUACGCCGAUACCGAUACAUUUAUUUAUAUUCGUUUCACUGCCGUAGUUGUGUCUAGGUGUCGUAAGAACGAGUCUGCAGAUAUGUGUGUGGUUUUCUCAAUAGUGUACAUAGCCUGUGUACAUGAACUAGUUUCUGUUGUCCAGUAAAACAAUAUUUGCAAUUAUAUAACAUACUAGUUUCUUUUAUUUUCUUGUUCAAAGUCUUCUAAACUUGUAUUCUAGGUUUUAUUCAUCAGCGUUCUGUUGUUUUUUUUUAAAACAAACAAGUAAUAAUAAAGUAAUAUACAAUAUUUAACAUGUAUGAUGUGUACAUCUGAGUCAAGAUUGAUGAGUCAAGUAUCUUAAACAGCUAAAACAACCACUUGUUUUACAUGGCCUGUAUUGACAGUGUAACUCAGUGUGGAGUUUUCUUAAUUAUCCCCCGCCAUAGGCGGAGGGAUAUUGUUUUGCCGUUGUCCGUCCGUCUUUCCGUCCGUCUGUUCAGAGCCAUAUCUUGGAAGUGCUUUGGCCGAUUUCAUUGACGCUUGGUAUGAGUAUAUAUGUGGAUAAGAUGAUGAUGCACGCCAAAUGGCAUUGUACAUCAUCUAUAAAUAACGAAUUUAUGGCCCUUUGUAUCUUGAAAAAAAUGAUUUUGAGUGUCAAAUAUAACACUUUUGUGUCCAGAAGCAUAUUGGUGGGGGAUGUCAAUUCAACGAAUUUGAUUGUUAAUAUUUAUGUCAUACGUGUAUAUUGUUUUCGAUUUAUUUACCGUGUUGCUUUAAAAAACUGAUUCUUGUCUCAAAUGCGAAUAAUAAUGUGCUUUGUUCCUGGUUUUGUUUGCAAAUUAAACUCGAGUUUGAUAAUAUUUAUCGUUAUAUAAACUGUCUUUAAUAUAAGCUUAAAUUUUGAAUUGAAUGUUUAUGAUCAAAAUGUAUUUUAUGUCUUAAAAAUCAUAUUCUUGUCAUUUUCUCUUUGAAAUUACACGAUUUAAAGAUAAAAGAAAAUCUGUCUGAUAUCUAAAUGCGCAGUGUUGAAAGUCAUGUAUUAAGAAAACGAUACGCGGUUCAUAUACACGACCUGUUAUAGUACCGCACGUAAUAUGAAACUAAUUUACUAUACAGAGUAAAUAAUGUUACUCGCCGUGACGUAGUGGAAAUGGUGUCCGCCUAGCGAUUGGUAUGUCACGGGUUUAAUACUCACUAUGGGAGCGUUCUUAAAAACCCCACCAAGUACUGGUUCUUGUCCCAGGAAACGGACUCAAGAGCGUUUCAAUGCCUUGGGCUUUCUAUGCAAUCGAGCUAAAGUAAAUAGGUUUAAAGGAAAUGAUGUUACUGGAUUGAGGUCGUGGCAUUUGUUAGGUGCUCAAAGUAAAAUAGCAUCAACCAGCUUUAAUAUGAUCAUUGCAAUUGUACGCACUUUCCAUCAGAUGUUAUGAUUAUUUAUAAACUUGCAUUCAAUAUGAGAAACAGUACAACUCAGAAAGAACUUCGUCCGUUAACGUUUGCGGUCUGACUCGGAGGUCACUAUUAAGUGAAGGGGCCCUCUGUGAUAUAUUGGUAUAUUCCUUAUACUAUUCUGCUCGGAUUCGCGCAUGUAUUUUAAAAUAAAAUGAUAAUAUUCAUACAGACAUAUGAGUUUAUUCUAGAAAACUGACUUAAACAAUAUCUCGAGCAAUAGUGACUCGACUUAUCAUGUUUAGUAUUUAAUAGUCUGCAGUAAUACUCAACUAAGUAUUUCUAGAUAUUUGGAUCAUAUGUAUCACAAUUUAUCACGUUCAUGUUGUUAAAUGGUUCAAAUUAACUUAUUUAACAAAAUAGCUUAAUCACUUUUUUUCUGAAACUACAACGACAAUAUUUUUUGUAUGUUUAUGUGUCAUAAAAAUAUGUUCCACUCAACAUUAGAAAUCGUUCCUUGGAACUCAAAACUGGCAAUUGACAAGGAGGUGAAAUGGUUAGGGAAAACUCUUUAAUCAAAAUAACAAUUACAAUUAUUUCAUAAACACAUUGCAAUGGGGUUUUGUUUUGUACGAAACAUCUUGUAAUUGGUGAAAAUCAUGCCCAUUGGUUGUAAUCGAGUGGUCGAGUGAGCGAUCUGAAGACAUGACUUUCUUGCUUUGGGUGUAUUUAUUAUUUGUCUUUGUUAAACUGUUAAGCAUUUAAUUGUUAAUUAUGUACUGGAAAUGUGUUAUUAGCCUUGAACGAAUGCCUCGCAAAGGCUGACACGAUUUAUUCGGGCGAUACGUUUUAUGGGGUUUCAUUAUUAUGAAGUUUAAUUUUCAUAGGUGUAAAACUCAUUCAUGUUUUACCUAUAUAGUUUACGAUAGCAACACAACCACGGCGUUAAAUUAAAUGACAUGUCAUAUUAUUUUUUAGUAUCAACAUUGAGUACAAAUACGAGUUGUCAAAUGCAAAACACUUAA
Molecule: long non-coding RNA, 4025 nt
Organism: Dreissena polymorpha
Lineage: Eukaryota; Metazoa; Mollusca; Bivalvia; Myida; Dreissenidae
Exons: 4
Source: RefSeq, a predicted model, not a curated record